AUGGAAAAAUAUGAAGAAUUUAUGCUUAGACGAUGGCUUGCUGCACAACCUGAUUGUAGAUGGUGUCCAGCUCCAGAUUGUGGAUAUGCUGUGAUAGCAUUUGGAUGCGCCAGUUGUCCAAAGUUAACUUGAGGGUGAGAGGGCCGUGGAACGGAGUUUUGCUACCACUGUAAACAGAUUUGGCACCCCAACCAGACCUGUGAUGCCACUCGGCAAGAAAGAGCCCAGAGUUUAUGUUUGAGAACUAUACGUUCUUCAUCCAUUAGCUAUAGUCAAAAAUCUGGAGCAGCAGCUGAUGAUAUAAAUCCAUGUCCACGAUGCGCUGCUUAUAUAAUAAAGAUGAAUGAUGGGAGCUGCAAUCACAUGACAUGUGCUGUUUGUGGUUGUGAGUUUUGUUGGUUGUGUAUGAAAGAAAUCUCAGAUUUACAUUACCUAAGUCCAUCAGGGUGUACUUUUUGGGGAAAGAAACUUUGGAGCCGAAAGAAGAAAAUAUUAUGACAGCUGGGAACACUGGUUGGUGCUCCUGUAGGAAUUGCUUUAAUAGCGGGCAUUCCUAUUCCUGCGAUGAUUAUUGGCAUUCCUGUGUAUGUGGGCCACAAGAUUCACAAUCGAUAUGAAGGCAAGGAUGUUUCAAAGCACAAAUGGAAUUUGGCCAUAGCAGGUGGUGUAACGUUGUCUGUAAUUGUAUCUCCAGUAGUAGCUGCAGUGACUGUAGGUAUUGGUGUUCCUAUUAUGUUAGCUUAUGUCUAUGGCAUUUCCAAUUUCUCUCUGUCGAAGUGGAGGUUGUGGAGUCUCAGCAGGCAAUGGAAAAGGAGUCAGGAUUGAAUUUGAUGACGAAAAUGAUAGAAAUGUUGGUGGAACUAACACAGCUGUAGACACAACAUCAAUAGCAGAAGCAAGAAACAAUCCUAGCAUAGGGGAAGGAAGUGUUGGUGGCCUGACUGGCAGUUUGAGUGCAAGUGGAAGCCACAUGGAUCGAAUAGGAACCAUUCGAGACAACCUGAGUGAAACGGCUAGCACCAUGGCACUGGCUGGGGCCAGUAUAAUGGGGAGUCUGUCAGGAAGUGCCAUGGUUAAUUGUUUUAACAGGUUGGAAGUACAAGCAGAUGUACAGAAAGAACGGUACAGUCUAAGUGGAGAAUCUGGCACCAUCAACUUGGGAACAGUUAGUGAUAAUGCCAGCACCAAAGCAAUGGCAGGAUCCCUUCUCAACUCCUACAUCCCCUUGGACAAAGAAGGCAACAGUAUGGAGGUACAAGUGGAUAUUGAAUCAAAACCAUCCAAAUUUAGGCACAACAGUGGAAGCAGUAGUGUGGAUGAUGGCAGUGCCACCCGAAGUCACACUGGUGGUUCAUCCUGUGGCUUGCCUGAAGGUAAAUCUAGUGCCACCAUGUGGUCCAAAGAAGCAACAGCAGGAAAAAAAUCAAAAAGUAAAUUGUGGAAAAAAGGUAACAUGAAGAUAAAUGAGAUCAGAAAGGACACAGAUACACAGUUGUUGGAACAACUAAGCACGAACUCAAGUGAAUUUUAGGCUCCAUCCCUCAGUGACAGUAUGCCAUCUGU
Carlito syrichta (Philippine tarsier) is the source of this 1563-nucleotide RNA transcript. It is a transcript of the gene named E3 ubiquitin-protein ligase RNF19A pseudogene, with no coding region annotated. The transcript has a single exon. NCBI's taxonomy places the organism in Eukaryota, Metazoa, Chordata, Mammalia, Primates, Tarsiidae. The record is from RefSeq and is a predicted model, not a curated record.